Molecule: ribosomal RNA, 773 nt
Filed under: uncultured Neocallimastigales
Lineage: Eukaryota; Fungi; Neocallimastigomycota; Neocallimastigomycetes; Neocallimastigales
Description: partial large subunit ribosomal RNA
Rfam family: Eukaryotic large subunit ribosomal RNA
Source: RNAcentral
GUACACGCUGUGACUAGCAUAUCAAUAAGCGGAGGAAAAGAAACUAACAAGGAUUCCCCUAGUAACGGCGAGUGAAGCGGGAAGAGCUCAAAUUUGAAAUCUUAAAGGGUUUCCCUUUACGAAUUGUAGUUUAAAGAAGUGUUUUCUGUUGAGGUUUUGGUAAAAGUUCUUUGGAAUAGGACAUCAUAGAGGGUGAGAAUCCCGUAUUUGACCUUUACUUUCAACUUUGUGAUACACUUUCAAAGAGUCGGAUUGUUUGGGAAUGCAGUCCAAAAUGGGUGGUAAAUUUCAUCUAAAGCUAAAUAUUGGCGAGAGACCGAUAGCGAACAAGUACCGUGAGGGAAAGAUGAAAAGAACUUUGAAAAGAGAGUUAAACAGUACGUGAAAUUGUCAAAAGGGAAGCGUUUGACACCAGUGUUGUUUUUCUGAAAAUCAAUUAAAGAACUGUUUAUGCUAAGUUGUUUAGACUUUAUCAGCUAACUGUUUAGUUUUGAGCUUUUCUUUAAUGCACUUUUCAGUUAACAAGUCAACAUCAAUUUCUUUUGCUGUAAAAAAGCUUGAGGAAGGUGGCUUGAGAUUCGUCUUAAGUGUUUAUAGCCUCUUGCCUAUGCAGUCGGAGAGAUUGAGGUCUGCAGCGUAGAUCCUUCGGGGCUAAAUGCAUUUGUGCUAAGUUAUAGCAUUUUAUAGACAACUUGUUGACUAUGAUUUGUCUUGUAGCUUACUCGCUUAUGUUAUUUUACCUACGCUUAGGAUGUUGAAGAUGUAGCACAUCA